CCAGCUUCACUUUUCCACAUCUCGUCGCCUCUUCCAAAAAGGCUCCAUGGCCAAAAGGUGGCAGCUGCAGAAAGGCAGCGAGCAAAGAAAAUGCUACUUGCAAAGGUGACCAUGACUGCUGUCUCUUCUUGUGCUGCCGAAUCUAGUGUGUGUGUGCUGUUGCAUCUCUUUUGUGCGCGUGCAUGGCAUGGUUGGGUGAAAGUGAGGAGGAUGCUUGCAGCAAUAGCAAUGUAACUUUAACCCACUUUGCUGCAGGAACCCUAUUUUUUCUUUUGUUGGUGGGAAUGGAAUGGGGAUUCGACCCCCCCCCCCCCCCCCCCCCCCCCAAAGUUUUAUGCAUGUGGCAGUGUGUUUUUGCUGGGGGCUCGGGGCACCACGGAUGCGCAUAUACAAGUGUGAAAGUUGCGUGGCUGGGGUAUUUCGGAUCUUUGGAUCUUUCCGGGUCGUCUCCGGAAGAAUAAAAAUUCUUCAGUGGCUCACAAUUGGUAGUCCAGCUGGUGAAGUGUCGGGUCCGCCUUUGCGAUGUAGAUCCCGAUUGCUUUUUUGAAGAAUUUUAUGAAUUAUUGUUAGGUUGGUUGCUGUCCUAAUCAUAUCACUUUUCAGGGUUUUUGCAACUUAUUGUUAGGUUUAUUUUGUGGAAGCGGCUUAAUUAGCGAUAUAAAUCCUGUCUCUU
This 673-nucleotide long non-coding RNA is filed under the name Setaria italica (foxtail millet). RNAcentral's name for it is "long non-coding RNA (SITA_LNC004416)". The record is from RNAcentral. Lineage: Eukaryota; Viridiplantae; Streptophyta; Magnoliopsida; Poales; Poaceae.